GCCUUAGCUCAGUUGGUAGAGCGCUGCCUUUGCAAGGCAGAUGUCAGGAGUUCGGUGGUUAUCUCUAGGAGAGGUA
This 76-nucleotide transfer RNA is filed under the name Gammaproteobacteria bacterium. RNAcentral's name for it is "tRNA-Ala". The stretch from base 5 to 67 matches the Rfam family "tRNA", at positions 8 to 63 of the family's 71-position model. From Rfam's summary of the family: Transfer RNA (tRNA) molecules are approximately 80 nucleotides in length. Their secondary structure includes four short double-helical elements and three loops (D, anti-codon, and T loops). The record is from RNAcentral. Lineage: Bacteria; Pseudomonadati; Pseudomonadota; Gammaproteobacteria.